This is a ribosomal RNA of 2919 nucleotides. It matches the Rfam family "Bacterial large subunit ribosomal RNA". The record is from Rfam.
GGUCAAGUUAUAAAGGGCGCACGGUGAAUGCCUUGGCACUAGGAGUCGACGAAGGACGGGACGAACACCGAUAUGCUUCGGGGAGCUGUAAGUAAGCAAUGAUCCGGAGAUUUCCGAAUGGGGCAACCCAAUCAUCCGUAGGAUGAUUACAGCUUAGUGAAUACAUAGCUAAGUUGAGACAAACGUGGGGAACUGAAACAUCUCAGUACCUGCAGGAAGAGAAAGAAAAUCGAUUUCCUCAGUAGCGGCGAGCGAACGGGAAACAGCCCAAACCAAUGAGCUUGCUUAUUGGGGUUGUAGGACAAAACACAUGGAGUUACAAAAGUAUCAGUUAGUCGAAGCAGAUGGGAAGCUGCGCUAAAGAGAGUGAGAGCCUCGUAGACAAAAACUGGUACCCUCCGUUUUGGAUCCUGAGUACGGCCAAACACGAGAAAUUUGGUCGGAAGCUGGGAGGACCAUCUCCCAAGGCUAAAUACUACCUAGUGACCGAUAGUGAACCAGUACCGUGAGGGAAAGGUGAAAAGCACCCCGGGAGGGGAGUGAAAUAGAUCCUGAAACCGUGUGCCUACAAGUAGUCAAAGCCCGUUAAUGGGUAAUGGCGUGCCUUUUGUAGAAUGAACCGGCGAGUUAUGUUUUCAUGCGAGGUUAAGUUGAAAAGACGGAGCCAUAGCGAAAGCGAGUCUGAAUAGGGCGUUAAGUAUGAGGAUGUAGACCCGAAACCAAGUGACCUACCCAUGUCCAGGUUGAAGGUGUGGUAAAACGCACUGGAGGACCGAACCCACGCAUGUUGAAAAAUGCGGGGAUGAGGUGUGGGUAGCGGUGAAAUUCCAAACGAACUUGGAGAUAGCUGGUUCUCUCCGAAAUAGCUUUAGGGCUAGCCUCGAGGCUAGGAUCAUGGAGGUAGAGCACUGUUUGGACUAGGGGCCCGUCAAGGGUUACUGAAUCCAGAUAAACUCCGAAUGCCAUUGAUCUAGUCCUCGGGAGUCAGACUGCGAGUGAUAAGAUCCGUAGUCGAAAGGGAAACAGCCCAGAUCACCAGUUAAGGUCCCCAAAUCUAUGCUAAGUGGAAAAGGAUGUGGAGUUGCGCAGACAACUAGGAUGUUGGCUCAGAAGCAGCCACCAUUCAAAGAGUGCGUAAUAGCUCACUAGUCGAGUGACUCUGCGCCGAAAAUGUACCGGGGCUAAGCAUAGUACCGAAACUGUGGAUGCACCCGUAAGGGUGUGUGGUAGGAGAGCGUUCUAAGGGCGGUGAAGCUAGAUCGUAAGGACUAGUGGAGCGCUUAGAAGUGAGAAUGCCGGUAUGAGUAGCGAAAGAUCAGUGAGAAUCUGAUCCACCGAAUGACUAAGGUUUCCUGGGGAAGGCUCGUCCUCCCAGGGUUAGUCGGGACCUAAGGCGAGGCCGCAAGGCGUAGUCGAUGGCAAGCAGGUCGAGAUUCCUGCACUUCUUUGUUUCGUUUGAGUGAUGGAGGGACACAGGAGGCUAAGUCGAGCAUGCGACUGGAAAAGCAUGUCCAAGUAACAAGUCUGAAGAUGAGUUAAAUGCUUAUUUUCAUUAAGGACAAGUUAUGAUGGGGAGCGAAAUUUAAGUAGCGAAGCGACUGAUGUCACACUGUCAAGAAAAGCUUCUAGCGAGAAACAAAGGACCCGUACCGCAAACCGACACAGGUAGUCGAGGAGAGUAUCCUAAGGUGAGCGAGUGAACUAUCGUUAAGGAACUCGGCAAAAUGACCCCGUAACUUCGGGAGAAGGGGUGCUGACCGCAAGGUCAGCCGCAGUGAAUAGGCCCAAACAACUGUUUAUCAAAAACACAGGUCUCUGCAAAAUCGAAAGAUGACGUAUAGGGGCUGACGCCUGCCCGGUGCUGGAAGGUUAAGAGGAGUGCUUAGGUGUAAACCGAAGGUACGAAUUGAAGCCCCAGUAAACGGCGGCCGUAACUAUAACGGUCCUAAGGUAGCGAAAUUCCUUGUCGGGUAAGUUCCGACCCGCACGAAAGGCGUAAUGAUUUGGGCACUGUCUCAACGAUAGACUCGGUGAAAUUAUAUUACCCGUGAAGAUGCGGGUUACCCGCGACAGGACGGAAAGACCCCAUGGAGCUUUACUGUAGCUUGAUAUUGAGUGUUUGUAAAACAUGUACAGGAUAGGUAGGAGCCGAAGAAGUAGGGACGCUAGUUUCUACGGAGGCAAUGGUGGGAUACUACCCUUGUUUUAUGAACAUUCUAACCCGCGCCACUCACGUGGCGGGAGACAGUGUCAGGUGGGCAGUUUGACUGGGGCGGUCGCCUCCUAAAGUGUAACGGAGGCGCUCAAAGGUUCCCUCAGAAUGGUUGGAAAUCAUUCGUAGAGUGUAAAGGUAAAAGGGAGCUUGACUGCGAGACAGACAAGUCGAGCAGGGACGAAAGUCGGACUUAGUGAUCCGGUGGUACCGUAUGGAAGGGCCAUCGCUCAACGGAUAAAAGCUACCCUGGGGAUAACAGGCUUAUCUUCCCCAAGAGUCCACAUCGACGGGAAGGUUUGGCACCUCGAUGUCGGCUCAUCGCAUCCUGGGGCUGAAGUUGGUCCCAAGGGUUGGGCUGUUCGCCCAUUAAAGCGGUACGCGAGCUGGGUUCAGAACGUCGUGAGACAGUUCGGUCCCUAUCCGUCGCGGGCGUAGGAAAUUUGAGAGAAGCUGUCCUUAGUACGAGAGGACCGGGAUGGACAUACCGCUGGUGUACCAGUUGUGCCGCCAGGCGCAGAGCUGGGUAGCUAUGUAUGGACGGGAUAAACGCUGAAAGCAUCUAAGUGUGAAGCCCCUCUCGAGAUGAGAUUUCCCAUAACAUAAGUUAGUAAGACCCCUCAGAGAUGAUGAGGUAGAUAGGCUGGGAGUGGAAGUCUAGUGAUAGAUGGAGCGGACCAGUACUAAUCGGUCGAGGGCUUGACCAA